This 247-nucleotide ribosomal RNA is filed under the name Pluteus sp. RNAcentral's name for it is "partial large subunit ribosomal RNA". It matches the Rfam family "Eukaryotic large subunit ribosomal RNA", at positions 104 to 344 of the family's 3401-position model. The record is from RNAcentral. Lineage: Eukaryota; Fungi; Basidiomycota; Agaricomycetes; Agaricales; Pluteaceae.
AAAGCUCAAAUUUAAAAUCUGGCGGUCUCUGGCUGUCCGAGUUGUAAACUAGAGAAGUGUUAUCCGUGCUGGACCAUGUACAAGUCUCCUGGAACGGAGCGUCACAGAGGGUGAGAAUCCCGUCUUUGACAUGGACUCCCAGUGCAUUGUGAUGCGCUCUCAAAGAGUCGAGUUGUUUGGGAAUGCAGCUCAAAAUGGGUGGUAAAUUCCAUCUAAAGCUAAAUAUUGGCGAGAGACCGAUAGCGAA